RNAcentral lists this long non-coding RNA (1593 nucleotides) under Mus musculus (house mouse). RNAcentral describes it as "novel transcript". Lineage: Eukaryota; Metazoa; Chordata; Mammalia; Rodentia; Muridae. The record is from RNAcentral.
GAGACAGUGUUAAGGAGGAGACACCAUAAGCUCUGUCCUCCUGUCCUUUCUUACCACACCAUGUGGAAGAACAGAUAUGCUCAGCUGUACCUUUUUUCAGUUCUUCUUGCCUUCCUGCCUUCUGCAUCUUCACUCAAUGGAGACCCGAAGUAUAUGGUGCUGGUCCCUUCUCAGCUCUACACUGAGACCCCUGAGAAAAUCUGCUUCCAUCUAUACCAUCUGAAUGAGACAGUGACCGUCACAGCUUCCUUGGUGUCUCAAUCAAGAUGGAGAAACCUGUUCGAUGAGCAUAUCACAGAUUUCUUGGUAUCUCAAUUGGAAAGGAGAAACCUGUUCGAUGAGCUUGUGGUUGACAAGGACUUGUUCCAAUGUGUUUCCUUCAUUAUCCCUACACUCAACUCUCCUGAUGAGGAGGAGUUUCUCUACGUGGACAUCAAAGGGCCAACCCACGAAUUCAGCAAAAGGAAAGCAGUGCUUGUGAAGAACAAAGAAAGUGUUGUCUUUGUCCAGACAGAUAAGCCCGUGUACAAACCAGGACAAUCAGUUAAAUUUCGGGUUGUCUCUAUGGAUAAAACUCUACACCCCCUGAAUGAGUUGCUCCCUCUGGCUUACAUUGAGGAUCCGAAAAAGAACCGAAUUAUGCAGUGGAGGGAUAUUAAGACUGAGAAUGGGCUUAAGCAAAUGUCCUUCAGCCUGGCAGCAGAGCCCAUUCAGGGCCCCUACAAGAUAGUGGUGCACAAACAGUCAGGGGAGAUGGAAGAACACUCCUUUACUGUGUUGGAAUUUGGUAUGAAUUGGGAAGACCAUCAAGAAAAAGCAAGUCUCAGGAUUCUGGUUAUCAUAGGAUGAAUUACUUUGUACAAAUUGAGUUCCAUCUGACUCUAGCUAAGGCUAUCCAUCUAGCAACAUGGGAAUUCUAGAAAGUUCUGGGAUUUUUCAAAAGCAAAUUACUUGUUUUAUUUUGUUUUUUUGUUUGUUCAUUUUUUUUACUUAAGUAGAUAUCCCUGUGAUUUUCAAGAAGUGAUAUAAUGUAUAGCCACUCAUCAUUCUAACUUUAUUGGGAUGGGUCAUGCCUUAAUAAUGUGAAAUGACCAUUUCUGGGCAGAGAGUGAUCACUUAGGCAACUAGACAAUUAGGUCCACUCCUGAGUGUCUCCUCUCUCUCACAAUAGUGCUUCCCAGAUUUAAUGUCGACCUGAAGGUUCCAAAUGCCAUCUCUGUGAAUGAUGAAGUGCUCCAAGUGACUGCAUGUGGGAAAUAUACCUAUGGGAAGCCUGUUCCAGGACAGGUGAAGAUAAGUAUCUGCCAUGAGACUGAAGCUGGAUGCAAAGAAGUCAAUUCCAAGGUGAGUGAAUCCAUUCUAAGGCCUGUUUUAAAUAUCCAAGACUGUCUAACAGGAAUGCAGACAGCAAAGAGAAGAGAACACACAUACCCACACAUUGAAAGAAGAUGUUCUGGGACCUUGGGCUGUAGCCCAGGGAUGGAACACUAGCCAGGCUUGUGUGCAAACCCCAGAAACACAUCUAAGCCCCUCACUGACAAAAGAGAUAAUUCUGGGAUCCACUACUAUUAAAGGAAUAUUUCAACAACUUUA